AGCGAACGCUGGCGGCAGGCCUAACACAUGCAAGUCGAACGAACUCUUCGGAGUUAGUGGCGGACGGGUGAGUAACACGUGGGAACGUGCCUUUUGGUUCGGAAUAACUCAGGGAAACUUGUGCUAAUACCGAAUGUGCCCUUCGGGGGAAAGAUUUAUCGCCAUUAGAGCGGCCCGCGUCUGAUUAGCUAGUUGGUGAGGUAACGGCUCACCAAGGCGACGAUCAGUAGCUGGUCUGAGAGGAUGACCAGCCACACUGGGACUGAGACACGGCCCAGACUCCUACGGGAGGCAGCAGUGGGGAAUCUUGCGCAAUGGGCGAAAGCCGGACGCAGCCAUGCCGCGUGAAUGAUGAAGGUCUUAGGAUUGUAAAAUUCUUUCACCGGGGACGAUAAUGACGGUACCCGGAGAAGAAGCCCCGGCUAACUUCGUG
This 433-nucleotide ribosomal RNA is filed under the name uncultured bacterium. RNAcentral describes it as "partial 16S ribosomal RNA". It matches the Rfam family "Bacterial small subunit ribosomal RNA", at positions 29 to 507 of the family's 1533-position model. The record is from RNAcentral.